CUGCAUGUGGAGGAGAGGGAAAGGGGAUUUGGUUGUGGGGAAGGUGAGAAAUCACAGGGUUUUAAAUAUCAGACAUGUUUCCUUGCAACUGUCCAAUAGCCCUGACUUUGCUACAUGCUGAGUCCUGCUGUUCAUUUCUGAUUUCACACAGUUUUGAACUCUUGACAUUGGCACAUCCCAGCUCCCACACUUUGUCAGAAGUCAAGGCCAUCUAAGAACCGGGCUGCUGGAGCUGAGAUUCUCAUCUGAUGGUCAGCCAGAGAAGGUGUGAUAGAGUGAAAAACCCAGGAUUUCCAUACAAGAGACCUAGUUUUGAAUCCUGGCAACUAACACUUAUUAAAUCUGUGACCUUGCAUUACCAUGUAACAUGAGGCUGCUUCUCCCGAUACAGCUGAGAUUGAAAUGUCACAGCAGCAUGAUCAAUUAGAUGAUGGAGAAGAGAGGCAUUUGCUACCUGACCUUAAUCUACAGGGCAGGAGUGACUGCAUGGAGAAGACUGAAUAUAGAGAGACUCCAAGGCAGAGGAAAGCAGCAGAGUGGGGUUUGAAUGGGCACAAAGCAGCAUACAUAUUGACUCGUGACGAAAAGGACAUCCUCAGGAUAAAGGCUUAUUAUAACGUGUACUGGUUGGUUCACUUACUCAUUCAGUUCUGACUGAGGACAAAAUAAACACCUUUAACAACAACAAAAAAAUAUGGUAGUAAAGGAAGCAGCAUAAAUUGAUCAUGCAAAGCACCGUUCCGACCACAGACUGGUCUCUCCAGGCCGCCGCGAGACAGAGGCCUCAUCUCCCGGGUGGACGCAGAUGCCUAAGCGUGGUUCAGCAUUCAGACGUUCAUUAUCCAGCCUGUCCCCCUUCGACACAUGGCUUUUAGAUCGUCCCUGCUUAUUACUGUUCCGCCAGAAGCAGGGCCAUUAAAGGAGGAAGAGGUCUUCAGAUGACUGUAAUGCCUUACAAAGAAAAACCACUGUGAGACUGCCAUCAGG
Ailuropoda melanoleuca (giant panda) is the source of this 987-nucleotide long non-coding RNA. RefSeq lists it as uncharacterized. NCBI's taxonomy places the organism in Eukaryota, Metazoa, Chordata, Mammalia, Carnivora, Ursidae. The transcript has 4 exons. The record is from RefSeq and is a predicted model, not a curated record.